AUCAAUGACUGAUAUUUUUACCUUAUUUUGUAUCUAAAUUAAGUUUUAUUUGGAUGCAUUUUUAGAUUACUUAACUGUGCUUGCUCUAUGAAAGCAAUAUUGUGUACCACUUUUUAUUCAGGUAGUCUACGUAAGAAUAAUAGGAUAUUCACUCAAUCAUACUUAUAAAAAACCAUUGGGAAAAACAGUUCAUAAACACCAUACUUUUAACAUGAAAUUCUAAUCAUACACAUUUGUGGUUUUUUGGGCAGGUAUAUUUUGGAACUUCACAUCCAAGAUACUAUAUCUCUGCCAAUGUAACUGGUUUCAAAUGUGUGACAGGAAUGUCUUGUUUAAUGAGAAAAGAUGUGUUAGAUCAAGCAGGAGGACUUAUAGCUUUUGCUCAGUACAUUGCCGAAGAUUACUUUAUGGCCAAAGCGAUAGCUGACCGAGGUUGGAAGUUUGCAAUGUCCACUCAAGUUGCAAUGC
This 468-nucleotide small RNA is filed under the name Pongo abelii (Sumatran orangutan). RNAcentral describes it as "processed transcript". The record is from RNAcentral. Lineage: Eukaryota; Metazoa; Chordata; Mammalia; Primates; Hominidae.